RNAcentral lists this unclassified non-coding RNA (355 nucleotides) under soil metagenome. RNAcentral describes it as "partial contains 5.8S ribosomal RNA, internal transcribed spacer 2, and large subunit ribosomal RNA". The stretch from base 1 to 120 matches the Rfam family "5.8S ribosomal RNA", at positions 35 to 154 of the family's 154-position model. The record is from RNAcentral.
GAUGAAGAACGUAGCGAAAUGCGAUAAGUAAUGCGAAUUGCAGAAUUCAGUGAAUCAUCGAAUCUUUGAACGCACAUUGCGCCCGCUAGUAUUCUGGCGGGCAUGCCUGUCUGAGCGUCAUUUCAACCCUCGCCCCCGGCUUUUGCUGGGAGCGGUGUUGGGGAUCGGCCGCCCGUCACUGGGAGGCCGGCCCCGAAAUAGAGUGGCGACCACGCCGUGUGCUCCUCUGCGUAAUAGUAAAUCACCUCGCAGGCGGACAGCGGUGCGGCCUGCCGUAAAACCCCCAACUCUUUCUGGUUGACCUCAGAUCAGGUAGGAAUACCCGCUGAACUUAAGCAUAUCAAUAAGCGGAGGA